Molecule: ribosomal RNA, 468 nt
Filed under: uncultured bacterium
Lineage: Bacteria
Description: partial 16S ribosomal RNA
Rfam family: Bacterial small subunit ribosomal RNA
Source: RNAcentral
GAUGAACGCUGGCGGCGUGCUUAACACAUGCAAGUCGAACGGUAAGGCCCUGCUUUUGGGGUGUGUUCGUGGGGCGCACGGGAGUGACACACGAGUGUAAUCUGCCCUUCUCUGGGGUAUACCUGGAGAAAACUGGGUCUAAUACCGGAUAGGAGCUCCUCGCACGGGGGGGGUGGUGGAGAGUUUCGGCGGUUGGGGAUGGACUCGCGGCUUAUCAGCUUGUUGGUGGGGUAGUGGCUUACCAAGGCUUUGACGGGUAGCCGGCCUGAGAGGGUGACCGGCCACACUGGGACUGAGAUACGGCCCAGACUCCUACGGGAGGCAGCAGUGGGGAAUAUUGCACAAUGGGCGGAAGCCUGAUGCAGCAACGCCGCGUGCGGGAUGACGGCCUUCGGGUUGUAAACCGCUUUCGCCUGUGACGAAGCGUGAGUGACGGUAAUGGGUAAAGAAGCACCGGCUAACUACGUG